CCCCCCCCCCCCCUCACUCCGUCCCUGUCCGUCUAUAACGUUCCUGUUCCAUCCCCAGAAAGUGCGCGAGCGGGAGAAGCCCGGCGUCACACGGAACGCCAGCGCGAGCCAUGGCCGCCGGACUCUCCGGCGCCGCGAUGACCAGCUUCGCCGCCAACAAGAACCCCGCGCUGCUGGCCGCGGCCUCGCGCCGCAGGGCGCCGCCUGCCCUCGCCGGGCGCGCGCUGCCGUUCUCGCCGCUCACCACCGCGCGGGCCCCGCGCCGCCGCGGGCUCGGGACCGUCACGUGCUUCGUGCCGCAGGACACGGAGCGCCCGGCGGCCGCCCACGUGCCGGUGCCGGUGCCCGAGACGGCGCUGGAGGAGGUGGCCAGGGCCGCGGCUGCGCGGCGCGUCGCGGAGAGGAAGGCGCGGAAGCUGUCCGAGCGGCGGACGUACCUGGUGGCCGCCGUGAUGUCCAGCCUCGGGGUCACGUCCAUGGCCGUCGCCGCCGUGUACUACCGCUUCAGCUGGCAGAUGGAGGGCGGCGAGGUGCCGGUGGCCGAGAUGUUCGGCACGUUUGCGCUCUCCAUCGGCGCGGCGGUCGGGAUGGAGUUCUGGGCGCGGUGGGCGCACCGGGCGCUGUGGCACGCCUCCCUGUGGCACAUGCACGAGUCGCACCACCGGCCGCGGGAGGGGCCCUUCGAGCUCAACGACGUGUUCGCCAUCAUCAACGCCGCGCCGGCCAUCUCCCUCCUCGCCUACGGCUUCUUCCACCGCGGCUUCGUGCCCGGCCUCUGCUUCGGCGCGGGCCUCGGGAUUACGCUGUUCGGCAUGGCCUACAUGUUCGUCCACGACGGCCUGGUCCACCGGCGCUUCCCCGUCGGCCCCAUCGCCAACGUGCCCUACUUCCGGCGAGUCGCUGCCGCUCACAAGUCCACUACCGACCUCAACUCAUGAUAUUUUUUACCGCCCUUUUGCGCGUGUGUGGCUGGGCUCCUCGGCGAUGUCGCGAGCAGAUCCACCACACGGACAAGUUCGAGGGCGUCCCGUAUGGGCUCUUCCUGGGACCCAAGGAGCUGGAGGAGGUUGGUGGCCUGGACGAGCUGGAGAAGGAGCUCGCGCGAAUCCGCAGCCGGGGCAUGUGACUUCGACCGGCGCGGCGGCGGCGUGGACGGAGCGCGCGGCAGGCUCCGCUCCAGGAUUUUUGUUUUUGGUCGCUUUUUCGUUGAUUCGAUCGUGGGGGAGUCGAGGACAACGAGAAAUUGGUUUGGUUGUUUGGGGCGUGGAUGCUGUAGAGAACAUUUGUAAGGUCUGGGGUCGGAGGGCACCGUUCGUACAUGGAAGAGUCCGGUGCCAUGGAAUUGUUUUUUUCCCCUUUCCCCUGCCAUUUUCAGGUCGGCGUCUCCGUGGAGCGUCGCACGUUCUGGUCCCCCUGUAUUGUUCUUAUGGCUAGGAUUCUGUGCAUAACACAUGUAGGGAAAUGUUAUGAACCACAUCAACGAAAGCAAAAUUCAGUGGUUGCAAACAAAGCUGGAAGUUCAGA
RNA transcript from Panicum virgatum (switchgrass), 1524 nucleotides. It is a transcript of the gene named beta-carotene hydroxylase 2, chloroplastic-like, with no coding region annotated. NCBI's taxonomy places the organism in Eukaryota, Viridiplantae, Streptophyta, Magnoliopsida, Poales, Poaceae. The record is from RefSeq and is a predicted model, not a curated record. The transcript has 6 exons.